GAUAUCUUGGCUCGUGGUAUUGAUGACCAGCAAGUGUCUCUUGUAAUUAACUAUGAUCUCCCAACUCAGCCAGAGAAUUACCUUCAUCGAAUUGGACGUAGUGGACAUUUUGGAAGCAAGGUUGUUGCGUUAAAUUUUGUUACCAAGGAUGAUGAAAGGAUGCUGUUUGACAUACAGAAGUUUUAUAAUGUAGAAGUCGAGGAGCUCCCUUCCAAUGUUGCUGAGCUCCUUUAGUAUGGUUUUGAUGUGAUGAGAUAAACUGUUUCUUAUUUCGUAGGGGUUUAGCAGUCAAACAUGUCUUGGAACAAUCAAUCCUUAAUGUAACCAAUCUAUCCUUUUCUCUGCCUUCAUUUCUAUUUUUUCUUCUAUUCUUUUGCAUCCAAUUUGGAACAAAGAUUAUGCUACUAAUUAAUGUUUUAAGAUUCGUAUUUUCGUUUCAAAAUUAGAUAUAUAUUUUGUGUUUUUUUAAAGUUAAUUCAUCAAAUCUUAACUUAAAAUUGAUAUAAUUUGGAGACAAUAAAAAAUAAUUAGUAGUACUUUAUACUUAGUUUAUAAUUUUUAUAUUUGUUUGUACUAAAAUUAAAUAAUUUAAUAUCAAUUUUAAAUUUUAAAAUUUUACGAAUUGACUCUAAAAAAUCAAAAUAUAUCUUUAACCUGUUUUAUUUUCUCCAUACAACAAUAAUAUAUGCAUCCAUUCUGCUCAUGAAUCAUUAUCGUUUUAUCUUCUCAUGGGUAUAAUAAAUAUUUACUUUAUGAUAAAUAUUUAUUAUUGAGACUCCGAAACUUCUUUGAAACAGGUGAUGGAUUGGUGAUGUUGCUUAAAUUAGAGUUAUUAGUAUUAAAAUUAAAAUACUGAUCCAGCACAAAAUUUUAAGUCUCAUCUCCCACCAUAAUUGAAGCAAAAUUAUACUCCAUUCGUUUCUUAAUAUAAAUUAUUUAAAAGAAAUAUUUUAUGUCCCUUAAUAUAAGUCGUUUGAGAAUUUCAAGUAAACAUUAAUUAUUUAAUUUUUAAUAUUACCCAAACUAUUAAAUAUAACUUUAGUUCUAUCACUAUUUUUUUGUCUAAUAAAUAAUACUCAAAUUUUUCAGUACAAGAACAAUAUAGACAAUUAAUAUUAUAUUUAAUGUUAUACAAUCAUUUUCUUAAUACUUGUACACAACUCUAAAACAACUUAUAUUAAGGGAGAGGGAGUACUCGCUACUUCUUUUUAAAUGACUAUUUUACGGCUACCAAUGUCUGUGGCGGUAGCGUUUGCAGCAUUUUAACCAAAAGUUUGGUACGUAAGAUUUGGGGCACAAAGGUUGCGUUUGUGAGUUAAAUAAGUUAUGUUUAAAAUAAGUUGUUACUAGAAGAAUAAGAUUUUCAAGUAUAUUUGAGCUUCUAAAUUGCUCUAAACACACCAAAUACUGCAAACACCGGGUAACAAAACAUACAUUAAGAAUAUGUAGGAGUUCACCGGUAAGAGUAUGCAUUCAAAUAGUAAAAUACGAAUUCGGUUAGCAUGAAGUGAAUUUCAUGGUAAAUUUACUUCAUGCCCAAUACAGUAUUGACACAUAGAUGAAAAGAUAUCUCUCCGUCUGCAUGUCAUAUUAUUAACUAUGAAAUGAAUUUACUAUAAAAUUCACUUCAUAUUAAGUCGAAUCGAAUUAUAUUCAAACUAUUCAAACGCAGAACCAGUUUAAUAUUCAAACGCAGACCCAGUUUUGAAGCCUAGCCCAUUUACAAUUUCACACCUCCUUAAACCCAAUAUUUGGGCAACAACUUGAAACGCCGUCGUUAGCAUAGGAAAACAUGCAAAACCAAACGACAAGCACGAAGAAGGUGCAAAUUAGGGCUUUGCGAAAUCCUAUUUUGCUUCCGUCUCUAUUCAAAGAAUUUAUCACUCUCUAAAUAACAGAGUUGUCUUCCUCAACUCCGCGGCGUAGAUCCGAGGAGUUUGAGAAAACCCGAUCCCUCGUCUUCAAAAUCUACCAAAACCCCCAUCUAUUUCUUUCCCACCAUUUCAGCUACUUUUCACUCCAAUCAGUAAGUCAUUCAAAUGCCUUUUUUUUCUUUUUUAAAAAUUUCUAUGUAUGUGUGAUUCUAAAAUUUUCAUUUUGCUACUAGAUUAUCAUAAAGUUGAUUUAUUUGCUUUGGUUGAAGAUCUGUUUGGAAUGAUGCUACUAUAUUAUAGUAAUACAUGAUAUAUAUUUUUGAUUUUUCGUAGGUUAUAUACUGUUUAUCUUUGACAUUAAUGGUAUCCAAAUAUAGUUUACACUUUAUAGCACCCAUCCCAUAAUUUGAAACAUUGGAGGAUUAAAAGGUAGAAGCUUUAAUUGGAGUAUAUCACUAUAUUGUCAAUACUCCUGUUUUUAAUGCUUUAUGUUGGUUGGGUCUUAAAUCAGUGUUCUUCUCAUAAUUUGCAUUACAUGGUGUAUUUAUGUGUGAGAUGUGUACUUUUCAAAUGCUGUCCACCAACAUUAAAUGUGUAGUAUAUGAAAAAGUGGUUUCUAUGUGUAUCUUGGCAGUUUAUGAAUGGGUGUGUAAUUAGUAGACUUGCAAGGAAAAAUGGCAGUGUAAAUUAAGAAGAAAGACGUGACUGUUGAUGAGGAUGGAAGCAGAAGAAAAUUAAUAUUAUUAGGUUAUUAUUACGUAUUAUUAUUUAUGGAUGAUUUUAAUGUAAUUAGUUUAUUUAGAAGAUAAUAUUAGGAUAUAUUUAAUUAUAUUAUUAGAAUACUCUAGAAUAUUAAUUAUUUAAGGUAGUAGAUAAUUACUAGAAUUUUAUUUCCUUAUUUAAUUAGGUUACUUAAUAUUUUACUUAGCCUCCAAAAUUUUCUCAUUCCUAUAUAAACAGUUGUACUCCCUCGUUUAUUAUUAUUAUUAUUGAAUGAUUGAUAUUAUUGAAUUUUAAGCCUUGCACUGGUGACUUUUAGCCUAAUUAUCUUCUUUGAAUUCUCUUUCUUUCUUCCUCCAUCUUUGUUCUACAUCAUAAUGGUAUCAAAGAGCCAAAGGUUCCUGAUAUAUUUUGAUUUUUCACGAUUCCUUUCUACCCUAAUAUUUUGGUUCAUGAUAUAUUUUGAUUUGACCCAAUUCCUUCCUACCCUAAUUGUUUGGCUUCCAUCAAUUGUCAAAGUUCGCUAGAGAGUCGACAUCAAUAUCCGUGUAGUCUCAAAUCUAUCCCAAUUUAUUUUAUCCAAGUUUUUAAACUGCUACAGUGGGCAAAAUUACCGAUUGUACCCCAAGGUUUCUGAAACUUUCAACUUAGGCCCUGAACUUUCUGAACAUUUCAAAUCAGCCUCCAAAGUUUCAGACAAGUUCAAAUCAGUCCCUGUUUCGUUGUAUUUUCUGCACUUACGCCCCUAGACCCCCAAAAAAAGGAAAAAAAGGAGUAUUGUUUUAGGAAUCAUGGUUAACUAAUGCUGAGCUUGCAUCUAAAAUGGAAGAGAUGUCUAAAAGUUAUGGUGCAAGAAUUGAUUCUUUAGAGGCUCAAAUGAAAUCCUUAACGGAAUUAAUAAAUACUUUGCUCCAACAACACAAGUUUGAUCCAGAAAAGAGUGAAUCUCCCACUAUUUGAACGGUGAUGACCAAGGAAUAACAAUGGACAGAGAUGCUCAAUGUUAAUGACACUAAUUGGGAAGAAAUUUUGCAACUCAAUGACAAGUCACAAGAAGAUGAAGAUAAAGUUGAUGUGAGCGAAAGUGAGAUUGAGCAGAAAGUUGAUGAUGUUCCGUAUGAAGAAACAUACCAUCAAGUCAUCGAUUUCGUUAUCAACGAGAGCUCUAACUAGAAGCAAUACAAAGAAGUUCACUCAUUGUUUUUUUCUAAUCAAUAUAGUUACAAGGAGGAUAAAACUUUCUUGCAUGUUUGAAGCCUUUUAAGUUUUAGGGUUUUUCUUAUUCCUAUAUAAACAAUUGUAAUCUCUUAUUAUUAUUAACCUAAUUAUCUUCUUUGAAUUCUCUUUCUUCCUUCCUCCAUCUUUGUCCUACUCUUACAUCAACUGUUACCAUACGUGCUAUGUUGUUUAUUUACUGCCAUUGUUUUGUACUGCAAUAUAUGCCUCUUUUACUGUUUUACUUGUAUAAAUUUUCCCCUCAAGUUGACAGGGCUGUACAAUAUGCUAUUAUAAUUAUAAGGAAUGUGGUUGCAUAGUUAGGAUGCUUUAGACUGAUUCUUUUGUCUUUUUCAUACGAGUAAUAUUUAUUUCUGACUUACUUGCAAUAGUCAUGUCUGGAUCUGGUCCAGAAGGUUCUCAAUUCGAUGCACGCCAAUUCGAUGCAAAAAUGACUGAAUUGUAAGUUCUUUGUAUUCAAAUUUCAAUUAAUUGAAGUUGCUUCAUAAUAGAUUUGCCUUUAUUUUCUAGUUACACUUUAUUACUUACUUUCUGAUGAAGAAAAAGCAUAUUUUCUUCCUUAUACGUCAAUGAUGGUACUCAUAUUAUGGUUUGAUGAAUUGAUUGGAGCAGACUUGGGGCUGAUGGAGAGGAGUUCUUCACAUCAUACGAUGAGGUUUAUGACAGUUUCGAUGCUAUGGGAUUGCAAGAAAAUCUUCUUCGAGGCAUCUAUGCCUAUGGUUGAGAAGAUUUUAACCUUGUUUUCCGUUUUCUCAUGUUAUUUGUUUUCCUUAAAAAUAUGUUCAUCAAGACCGGACAUCAUGUGAGAACUACAUUAAACAUAUUUAUAUUUCCUGACUACUUCAUGGCAAAGUGAUUAAUUUUUUUAAUUAUCCAUUAGAACCUUCUUUCCAUUCAAUUUAUCUUGUGAUUGCCAAAGUUAUCAAUUUUAUGGUUGCCUGUCAUUUCUUUAGUUUACUGCCGAUUCUUAUAUAGAACCAGUUUUUGGGGAAGUGGAGAACUGAUAGGUGGGUUUAAUUUUUUGAAGGUUUUGAGAAGCCCUCUGCAAUUCAGCAACGGGGGAUUGUUCCAUUCUGCAAGGGACUUGAUGUUAUUCAACAGGCACAAUCUGGUACUGGGAAAACAGCAACUUUUUGCUCUGGAAUUUUGCAGCAACUUGAUUACGGUGUAGUUGAAUGUCAGGCAUUGGUCCUUGCACCUACUCGUGAGCUUGCACAGCAGAUUGAGAAGGUUAUGCGAGCACUUGGUGAUUAUCUUGGUGUGAAGGUUCAUGUUUGUGUAGGAGGAACUAUCGUCCGCGAAGAUCAGCGCAUUCUCUCAAGUGGUGUUCAUGUUGUUGUUGGUACACCCGGCCGUGUAUUUGACAUGUUGCGAAGGCAAUCACUUCGUCCGGAUUACAUCAAAAUGUUUGUGCUGGACGAAGCUGAUGAAAUGCUUUCGAGAGGUUUCAAGGAUCAGGUAUUCAUUAUUCUCCGUUUUCCAUGAUCUGUAUGUGUUCAUCUGCUGUGUUGUCCGUCUCUUUUAGCCUGAAUCGUCAAUUUGUGGUUGUUUGUGCUGUGUUUAAUGGGGUAUAGGAUGCUUAUCUCAGAGAUUAUCUCGUUACAAAAUAUGCACGUGCAAAUGUUUUUAUGCUUUUAGUAUUUAGUUUGACACAUUUAGCUCUUGGAUAUGAACUUAUUUGGAUUUUUUUCUUAUACAACUGGAAAAGCUGCUGUGUUCUGCAAUGCUGAAUCCAAAUUGUUUACCACUCAAAGCAGUUUCUUACCCUCAACUUUAUUCUUGUCAGAUCUAUGAUAUUUUCCAGUUGCUACCACCCAAAAUUCAGGUUGGGGUUUUCUCUGCCACCAUGCCUCCUGAAGCUCUUGAAAUCACAAGGAAAUUCAUGAAUAAGCCUGUGAGGAUUCUUGUGAAACGUGAUGAGCUUACUCUGGAGGGUAUCAAACAGUUUUACGUUAAUGUUGACAAGGAGGAAUGGAAACUUGAGACACUUUGUGAUCUAUAUGAGACUUUGGCCAUUACCCAGAGUGUCAUAUUUGUUAACACUAGGCGCAAGGUUGAUUGGCUCACUGACAAAAUGCGCAGCCGUGAUCACACGGUCUCUGCCACCCAUGGAGACAUGGAUCAGAACACUAGAGACAUCAUUAUGCGGGAAUUCCGCUCUGGUUCCUCUCGCGUGCUCAUCACCACUGAUCUCUUGGCUCGUGGUAUUGAUGUCCAGCAAGUGUCUCUUGUAAUUAACUAUGAUCUCCCAACUCAGCCAGAGAAUUACCUUCAUCGAAUUGGACGUAGUGGACGUUUUGGAAGGAAGGGUGUUGCGAUAAAUUUUGUUACCACGGAUGAUGAAAGGAUGCUGUUUGACAUACAGAAGUUUUAUAAUGUAGUAGUCGAGGAGCUCCCUGCCAAUGUUGCUGAUCUCCUUUAGAGUGGUUUUGAUGUGAUGAGGUAAAUUGUUUGUUAUUUGGAAGUAAUUUAUGGUCUUAUCUCGUAGGGGUUUAGCUGUCAAACAUGUC
Molecule: long non-coding RNA, 6340 nt
Filed under: Panax ginseng (ginseng)
Lineage: Eukaryota; Viridiplantae; Streptophyta; Magnoliopsida; Apiales; Araliaceae
Description: long non-coding RNA (PGIN_LNC010382)
Source: RNAcentral